GAUGAACGCUGGCGGCGUGCCUAAUACAUGCAAGUCGAGCGAACAGACGAGGAGCUUGCUCCUCUGACGUUAGCGGCGGACGGGUGAGUAACACGUGGAUAACCUACCUAUAAGACUGGGAUAACUGCGGGAAACCGGAGCUCAUACCGGAUAAUAUCUUGAACCGCAUGGUUCAAUAGUGAAAGACGGUUUUGCUGUCACUUAUAGAUGGAUCCGCGCCGCAUUAGCUAGUUGGUAAGGUAACGGCUUACCAAGGCAACGAUGCGUAGCCGACCUGAGAGGGUGAUCGGCCACACUGGAACUGAGACACGGUCCAGACUCCUACGGGAGGCAGCAGCAGGGAAUCUUCCGCAAUGGGCGAAAGCCUGACGGAGCAACGCCGCGUGAGUGAUGAAGGUCUUCGGAUCGUAAAACUCUGUUAUUAGGGAAGAACAAAUGUGUAAGUAACUAUGCACGUCUUGACGGUACCUAAUCAGAAAGCCACGGCUAACUACGUG
Molecule: ribosomal RNA, 497 nt
Filed under: uncultured bacterium
Lineage: Bacteria
Description: partial 16S ribosomal RNA
Rfam family: Bacterial small subunit ribosomal RNA
Source: RNAcentral